This is a non-coding RNA of Ictidomys tridecemlineatus (thirteen-lined ground squirrel), 69 nucleotides long. The record is from Rfam. Lineage: Eukaryota; Metazoa; Chordata; Mammalia; Rodentia; Sciuridae.
GGGGUUGUGGCUCAGAGGUAGAGCACUUGCUUCGCACGUGUGAGGCCCUGGGUUCAAUCCUCAGCACCA